UGAGGUUUCCAUUUCACACAUUUUUAAAUCACUAUUUCAAACAAAACAGAACAAACAUAAUUUGUCAAAUAACAGUAAAUCUGUUCCGAUGUCACAAUCUAUUACAAUCAAGCGGAAUAAACAAAUCUCUGGCAAGUGAAUACAAAUAACAGUAAAUCCGUUCCAAUGUCACAAUCUCUACAGUAUCACAAUGCAUCACAGCUUUGCACUUGGCUUCAUGGAUUUGCACUUCAAAUUUGUCAUGGCUCUCCUGUAAAAGAGUGAACACAAAGGCUACCAGCAUUAGUGUACUGCUGCUGAGGGCAGAACCAAACAAUUGCAAUGGCAACACUAAUGUAAACAACAAAGUAGAUCUACCCACUCAUACGUUCCAGCCUCACCUUUCCCUUCCUGAAUUUGGACACUAUCAUGCAAUACAAUUGCAGCAGUUAAAUGUUUGUGUGUGUGUGUACAUCAUCAGUGUGUGUGUGUGUGUGUGCCGUGGUUACCUACAUAUCCUACUAAGCGAAGCCAGCAGUCAGGUUGUUGGUCUUGUACUUGUCGAACUAACAAUCUAUGGAUUUUGCAGUCUAAAUGAGACCAGUAUAAACUAAUUGCACACAAUUGCAGCAGCGCCAGUGAGACCAAGAAGGAAAACAAGCAGAUCAGAUGGGAGGGGGUGGUUACCAUCCUGGCGCGCUCGCCCUUAUCCUGGAUGGCAUCAUCCUUGAGCACCCUCUCCAUCUGCCCAACCACAAAGACGGAGAGAAAAAAUGUCAGGAACGCAUCGCGUUGAUCCAGCCAUGGAGAAGAGAACAGAAAGAAAGAAAGAAAUAAAAAUCACUAGUAUUAUGUCUGAAAAAUCACUAGCUAGCAUGCUGCAUUACUAGUUUGCCAAUUAUCCACGCCACAGAAACAACGUGAAUCGAACCACAACAACAUAUCAAAUCCGGGGCUCACAUGAGGACUAAGACGGCGCUCAGGGGGCGCUUGGGCUUGUUGGAGUCUUUCUUGGCCUUGCUCUUCUUCACCACAACUCUGUAUCACCAUAGAAACAAUAGCAACAAAUAUCAACCAAUGCACAUACUUUUAUUACCAGGCAGAGAGAUAGCUCAAAACAGAACAUAUAUAAUUUGAAAGAAGUAAAUCACCCAUAAUUAACAGGGAGAGGUAUAACCAAAACAAGUUCAUUUGUCUUCCAAGUAUAAAACAUCAAGUGCACAAACUCACAUCAGUUAACAUCAUUACAGAAUUUCAGAUAACACGUUUACCGCAGAAAUUCAGUUAACAUAUUCUGCGCACAUGUUCAGUUAACAGUUUAGGUGCUCUAAUUCAGUUAAAACUGUAGCAUAUAACAAAUUCAGUUAAGUAAUCCGAAUAGCUUGUGUUUAUUGCAUUUACUGAGAAAAACAUAUACAAUGCCAUUUUAAGUUGUGUGUAAACAUGACUAAGCUUGACAGAUACAGGGAAGAAAAAAAUUGAAUAAGAUAGCAGGCAAUGUAGGACAUCGAGGAUUCGACCAGCCUCUACUCAUCGGCACCUGUAAACACCAAGAAAAAGAACAAAGGUUUGAAUCAAACAAUAGUUGUAAAUUCGGUUAGCAUGACUACAAAUUAUCAGUAACCAAAGUACUCAUCUUCCUUCCAGGUUUUGAAUAGCCUAACAAAUUAUCAGCUCCAUUUUUCUUCCCAACCCACGAAAAUCAGUAUUGAAUAGCCCAACAAAUAACACACCAGUCCCCAAACCAGCAAAGAGCAUGGGAAUAAACAGACCAACCCCCACAUUCCAAUAAUUCAAACACUCAGCAGUC
RNAcentral lists this long non-coding RNA (1789 nucleotides) under Triticum aestivum (bread wheat). RNAcentral's name for it is "long non-coding RNA (TAES_LNC006853)". The record is from RNAcentral. Lineage: Eukaryota; Viridiplantae; Streptophyta; Magnoliopsida; Poales; Poaceae.